Molecule: ribosomal RNA, 440 nt
Filed under: uncultured bacterium
Lineage: Bacteria
Description: partial 16S ribosomal RNA
Rfam family: Bacterial small subunit ribosomal RNA
Source: RNAcentral
CCUACGUGUGGCAGCAGUGGGGGAUAUUGCACAAUGGGGGGAACCCUGAUGCAGCGACGCCGCGGGGGUGAAGAAGCGCCUCGGCGCGUAAAGCCCUGUCAGCAGGGAAGAAAAUGACGGUACCGGAAGAAGAAGCCACGGCUAACUACGUGCCAGCAGCCGCGGAAAUACGUAGGGGGCAAGCGUUAUCCGGAUUUACUGGGUGUAAGGGGGGCGCAGACGGCGAUGCAAGCCAGGAGUGAAAGCCCGGGGCCCAACCCCGGGACUGCUCUUGGAACUGCGUGGCUGGAGUGCAGGAGGGGCAGGCGGAAUUCCUGGUGUAGCGGUGAAAUGCGUAGAUAUCAGGAGGAACACCGGUGGCGAAGGCGGCCUGCUGGACUGCAACUGACGUUGAGGCCCGAAAGCGUGGGGAGCAAACAGGAUUAGAUACCCUAGUAGUC